AGCAGUCGCCACGGUAAUACGUAGGUGGCAAGCGUUGUCCGGAAUUAUUGGGCGUAAAGGGCUCGCAGGCGGUUUCUUAAGUCUGAUGUGAAAGCCCCCGGCUCAACCGGGGAGGGUCAUUGGAAACUGGGAAACUUGAGUGCAGAAGAGGAGAGUGGGAUUCCACGUGUAGCGGUGAAAUGCGUAGAGAUGUGGAGGAACACCAGUGGCGAAGGCGACUCUCUGGUCUGUAACUGACGCUGAGGAGCGAAAGCGUGGGGAGCGAACAGGAUUAGAUACCCCCGUAGUCCCUGUCUCUUAUAC
RNAcentral lists this ribosomal RNA (303 nucleotides) under uncultured bacterium. RNAcentral's name for it is "partial 16S ribosomal RNA". It matches the Rfam family "Bacterial small subunit ribosomal RNA", at positions 507 to 807 of the family's 1533-position model. The record is from RNAcentral.